RNAcentral lists this ribosomal RNA (253 nucleotides) under uncultured bacterium. RNAcentral describes it as "partial 16S ribosomal RNA". It matches the Rfam family "Bacterial small subunit ribosomal RNA", at positions 524 to 776 of the family's 1533-position model. The record is from RNAcentral.
GACAGAGGGUGCAAACGUUGUUCGGAAUUACUGGGCGUAAAGCGUGUGUAGGCGGUCUCAUAAGUCGGGUGUGAAAGCCCCGGGCUCAACCCGGGAAGUGCACUCGAAACUGCGAGGCUAGAGUACUGGAGAGGUUGGUGGAAUUCUCGGUGUAGAGGUGAAAUUCGUAGAUAUUCGGAAGAACACCAGUGGCGAAGGCGACUCGCUGGACAAGUAUUGACGCUGAGGUGCGAAAGCGUGGGGAGCAAACAGG